UUUUUUAAUUGAAAACUUGUAUGAAUGGUUUAAUGAGAUAUUUUCUGUUUCAUAAAAAUUUUUAGAAAUUAAUUUUUUAGUUAAAAAGCUAAAAUAUAAUUAAAAGACGAGAAGACCCUAUAGAGUUUUAUAUAACUUAUAUUUUAAUUUUUAAAUAAUCAUUAAAAUUUUAAUUUAUUUUGUAUUUUGUUGGGGUGAUAGUAAAAUUUUAUAAUCUUUUAUUAUUUUAAAACAAUGAUUUUUGAUUAAUUGAUCCAUUUAUAUUGAUUAUAAGAUUAAAUUACCUUAGGGAUAACAGCGUGAUUUUUUUUUAGAGUUCAUAUCGAUAAAAAUUUUUGC
Molecule: ribosomal RNA, 339 nt
Filed under: Mycomya circumdata
Lineage: Eukaryota; Metazoa; Arthropoda; Insecta; Diptera; Mycetophilidae
Description: partial 16S ribosomal RNA
Source: RNAcentral